GGGCGUGUAGCUCAGCUGGUUAGAGCAUCUCGUUUACACCGAGAGGGUCCGCGGUUCGAAUCCGUGCACGCCCACCA
This 77-nucleotide transfer RNA is filed under the name Deltaproteobacteria bacterium. RNAcentral describes it as "tRNA-Val". It matches the Rfam family "tRNA". From Rfam's summary of the family: Transfer RNA (tRNA) molecules are approximately 80 nucleotides in length. Their secondary structure includes four short double-helical elements and three loops (D, anti-codon, and T loops). RNAcentral also lists the same sequence under 1 other name. Lineage: Bacteria; Pseudomonadati; Myxococcota; Myxococcia. The record is from RNAcentral.